UGUUAAAAAUUUAAUCCACUAGUAUUGUUAAAAAUUGACGUGAUUGACGGAAUAACCAGACAGUUAUACAUGGUAUGCCACAUGUACCUCAUACUAGUGUACAAUAAUUAGUUUUUAAUAGUAAAAAUAAAUAAAAAUUUUAACA
Molecule: non-coding RNA, 145 nt
Organism: Gossypium hirsutum (cotton)
Lineage: Eukaryota; Viridiplantae; Streptophyta; Magnoliopsida; Malvales; Malvaceae
Source: Rfam